UUUGAUCCUGGCUCAGGGACGAACGCUGGCGGGCGGGUUUAACACAUGCAAGUCGAACGAGAGGAGAAGGAAGCUUGCUUCUUUCAAAUCUAGUGGCAAACGGGUGAGUAACACGUAAACAACCUGCCUUCAGGAUGGGGACAACAGACGGAAACGACUGCUAAUACCGAAUACGUUCCUUAGGUCGCAUGACUUUAGGAAGAAAGGGUGGCCUCUACUUGUAAGCUAUCGCCUGAAGAGGGGUUUGCGUCUGAUUAGGUAGUUGGUGAGGUAACGGCCCACCAAGCCGACGAUCAGUAGCCGGUCUGAGAGGAUGAACGGCCACACUGGAACUGAGACACGGUCCAGACUCUUACGGGAGGCAGCAGUGGGGAAUCUUCCGCAAUGGGCGAAAGCCUGACGGAGCAACGCCGCGUGAGUGAUGACGGCCUUCGGGUUGUAAAGCUCUGUGAUCGGGGACGAACGGUCAGCAGACGAAUACUCUGCUGAAGUGACGGUACCCGAAUAGCAAGCCACGGCUAACUACGUGCCAGCAGCCGCGGUAAUACGUAGGUGGCAAGCGUUGUCCGGAAUUAUUGGGCGUAAAGCGCGCGCAGGCGGCUUCUUAAGUCCAUCUUAAAAGUGCGGGGCUUAACCCCGUGAUGGGAUGGAAACUGAGAGGCUGGAGUAUCGGAGAGGAAAGUGGAAUUCCUAGUGUAGCGGUGAAAUGCGUAGAUAUUAGGAGGAACACCAGUGGCGAAAGCGGCUUUCUGGACGACAACUGACGCUGAGGCGCGAAAGCCAGGGGAGCAAGCGGGAUUAGAUACCCCGGUAGUCCUGGCCGUAAACGAUGGAUACUAGGUGUAGGAGGUAUCGACCCCUUCUUGCCGGAGU
RNAcentral lists this ribosomal RNA (873 nucleotides) under uncultured bacterium. RNAcentral describes it as "bacterial SSU rRNA". It matches the Rfam family "Bacterial small subunit ribosomal RNA", at positions 12 to 852 of the family's 1533-position model. The record is from RNAcentral.